CUGGGCUAGAGGCGGGUCUCCACCAGCGACUCAUCGGAGGCGGGCUUGAGAGCAGCUGCAGGGGAGGCGCGCAGGAGCCUCGGCGGCGGCGGCGGCGGCGGCGGCGGCGGCGGCGGCGGCGGCCGAACCGACAGAGUCGGACCCGACACCAAAACCGAGCCCUGUAAUUGGAUGGGCUUAUUUGAUACAUGUUUGUUGGUGUUGGGCAUUCUUCAUAAUAAGAGUGGGUAUUUUUUAUUGGGAUUCAAAGGGUAGUGUGUCUGAAUAGCUGGAACUCCACUAGUGUUUUAUCUGUGAAUUUUCCCCUUCUAAAAUAAUGUAUGAAGUUUACCAGUACGUGUAUAGAACAGAAAGAACAAAAUGGAAAUUUGCUGCCUUAAGUCAUUGUUGGGGUGGGAUGGGUCUAAAUAAAUAGCAUUUA
Molecule: long non-coding RNA, 421 nt
Filed under: Neogale vison (American mink)
Lineage: Eukaryota; Metazoa; Chordata; Mammalia; Carnivora; Mustelidae
Description: Neovison vison (American mink) lncRNA (ENSNVIG00000024796.1)
Source: RNAcentral